Molecule: signal recognition particle RNA, 266 nt
Filed under: Chloroflexota bacterium
Lineage: Bacteria; Bacillati; Chloroflexota
Description: Chloroflexi bacterium signal recognition particle sRNA large type
Rfam family: Bacterial large signal recognition particle RNA
About the family: The signal recognition particle (SRP) is a universally conserved ribonucleoprotein involved in the co-translational targeting of proteins to membranes. Archaeal SRP consists of a 7S RNA and homologues of the eukaryotic SRP19 and SRP54 proteins. In most bacteria, the SRP consists of a 4.5S RNA and the Ffh protein (a homologue of the eukaryotic SRP54 protein).
Source: RNAcentral
CCGCGCUAGACGGGGGACUGGCGGUACCCUGCACCGGCAAUCCGCCUUAGCCGGGUCGAAUUCCCCCUCCGAGGUACGGCCCUUCGGGUCCGUCCGUGAUGAACAGCGUUGAAGGCCGGGACCUGCGCAGCUCGGGUCUCCGAACCCCGUCAGGUCCGGAAGGAAGCAGCGGUAAGGAGGAAACCUGAGGGUGCCGCAGCCAUCCGGGCUGGAGCUGCGACCCACGGCCACGCCGGGGGCGCCGCUGUCGACGAGGGGGUGCGCGG